CCUACGGGGGGCAGCAGUGGGGAAUAUUGGGCAAUGGAGGCAACUCUGACCCAGCAACGCCGCGUGAAUGAUGAAGGUCUUCGGAUUGUAAAGUUCUGUGAUGGGGGAUGAACACAAUGACGGUACCUGAAGAAUAAGCUCCGGCUAACUACGUGCCAGCAGCCGCGGUAAUACGUAGGGAGCGAGCGUUAUCCGGAAUUAUUGGGCGUAAAGGGUGCGUAGAUGGCAUAGUAAGUCUUUUGUAAAAAGGCUGGGCUCAACCCAGUAGGGCAAAAGAUACUGCAAAGCUAGAGUAUGACAGAGGCAAGUGGAACUACAUGUGUAGCGGUAAAAUGCGUAAAUAUAGGUAAGAACACCAGUGGCGAAGGCGGCUUGCUGGGUCGAGACUGACAUUGAGGCACGAAAGCGUGGGGAGCAAACAGGAUUAGAUACCCCAGUAGUC
Molecule: ribosomal RNA, 442 nt
Filed under: uncultured bacterium
Lineage: Bacteria
Description: partial 16S ribosomal RNA
Rfam family: Bacterial small subunit ribosomal RNA
Source: RNAcentral